RNAcentral lists this unclassified non-coding RNA (289 nucleotides) under Minimelanolocus asiaticus. Its description in RNAcentral is "sequence contains 5.8S rRNA gene". The stretch from base 1 to 53 matches the Rfam family "5.8S ribosomal RNA", at positions 102 to 154 of the family's 154-position model. The record is from RNAcentral. Lineage: Eukaryota; Fungi; Ascomycota; Eurotiomycetes; Chaetothyriales; Herpotrichiellaceae.
GAACGCACAUUGCGCCCUUUGGUAUUCCGAAGGGCAUGCCUGUUCGAGCGUCAUUAUCACCCCUCAAGCCCCCGGCUUGGUGUUGGAUGGUUUGGUGACAGAGCCCUUGGGCCACGGUCACCCCUCCCAAAGACAAUGACGGCGGCCUCGUUGGACCCCCGGUACACUGAGUUCUUCACCGAACACGUACUGGAUCAAGGGCCCGCGGAGCACGGUCUGCCUCCCCUCAGGGAGAACUUUUUUCUCAAGGUUGACCUCGGAUCAGGUAGGAAUACCCGCUGAACUUAAG